UACGUAGGGAGCAAGCGUUGUCCGGAAUCAUUGGGCGUAAAGCGCGCGUAGGUGGCCACAUAAGUCCGUUGUGAAAGUCAAAGGCUCAACCUUUGAAAGCCGAUGGAUACUGUGUGGCUAGAGUACGGAAGAGGCGAGUGGAAUUCCUGGUGUAGCGGUGGAAUGCGCAGAUAUCAGGAGGAACACCAAUAGCGAAGGCAGCUCGCUGGGACGUUACUGACACUGAGGUACGAAAGCGUGGGGAGCGAACAGG
RNAcentral lists this ribosomal RNA (253 nucleotides) under uncultured bacterium. RNAcentral describes it as "partial 16S ribosomal RNA". It matches the Rfam family "Bacterial small subunit ribosomal RNA", at positions 524 to 776 of the family's 1533-position model. The record is from RNAcentral.